GAGGUCGUGGCUCAGUGGUAGGGCACCCUCCUCACAUGUGUGAAGCACUGGCUUCGAUCCUCAGCACCACA
Molecule: transfer RNA, 71 nt
Filed under: Marmota monax (woodchuck)
Lineage: Eukaryota; Metazoa; Chordata; Mammalia; Rodentia; Sciuridae
Description: tRNA.Val
Source: RNAcentral